UACGGAGGGGGCUAGCGUUGUUCGGAAUUACUGGGCGUAAAGCGCACGUAGGCGGAUCAGUAAGUUAGAGGUGAAAGCCCAGGGCUCAACCCUGGAACUGCCUUUGAUACUGCUGGUCUGGAGGUCGAGAGAGGUGAGUGGAAUUCCGAGUGUAGAGGUGAAAUUCGUAGAUAUUCGGAGGAACACCAGUGGCGAAGGCGGCUCACUGGGGCUUUUCUGACGCUGAGGAACGAAAGCCAGGGUAGCGAACGGG
RNAcentral lists this ribosomal RNA (253 nucleotides) under uncultured bacterium. RNAcentral describes it as "partial 16S ribosomal RNA". It matches the Rfam family "Bacterial small subunit ribosomal RNA", at positions 524 to 776 of the family's 1533-position model. The record is from RNAcentral.